CCUAGGGAGGCUGCAGUGAGGAAUAUUGGUCAAUGGGCGGAAGCCUGAACCAGCCAAGUAGCGUGCAGGAUGACGGCCCUACGGGUUGUAAACUGCUUUUAUACGGGAAUAACGCGCCUUACGUGUAGGGCUUUGCAUGUACCGUAUGAAUAAGGACCGGCUAAUUCCGUACCAGCAGCCGCGGUAAUACGGAAGGUCCUGGCGUUAUCCGGAUUUCAUGGGUUUAAGGGGACCGUAGGCAGCUUGUCAAGUGUGCUGUGAAAGGCCCGGGCUCAACCCGGGCCGUGCAGCGUGAACUGGCGUGCUAGAGUCCGCGGAAGGCAGGCGGAAUUCGUCGUGUAGCGGUGAAAUGCUUAGAUAUGACGAAGAACCCCGAUUGCGAAGGCAGCUUGCUGGAGCGGAACUGACGCUGAUGCUCGAAAGCGCGGGUAUCGAACAGGAUUAGAUACCCCAGUAGUC
This 459-nucleotide ribosomal RNA is filed under the name uncultured bacterium. RNAcentral's name for it is "partial 16S ribosomal RNA". It matches the Rfam family "Bacterial small subunit ribosomal RNA", at positions 338 to 795 of the family's 1533-position model. The record is from RNAcentral.